CGAGCACGCGCGUGUGGCAUAUCAAUAAGCGGAGGAAAAGAAACUAACAAGGAUUCCCUCAGUAACGGCGAGUGAAGCGGGAAGAGCUCAAAUUUGAAAUCUUCAAGGUUCUACCUUGACGAAUUGUAGUUUAAAGAAGUGUUUUCUGUUAGUGGAGUGGCAAAAGUUCUCUGGAAUAGGACAUCAUAGAGGGUGAGAAUCCCGUAUUUGGUCAUUCCUCCUAGCGUUGUGAUACACUUUCAACGAGUCGGAUUGUUUGGGAAUGCAGUCCAAAAUGGGUGGUAAAUUUCAUCUAAAGCUAAAUAUUGGCGAGAGACCGAUAGCGAACAAGUACCGUGAGGGAAAGAUGAAAAGAACUUUGAAAAGAGAGUUAAACAGUACGUGAAAUUGUCAAAAGGGAAGCGUUUGACACCAGUGUUGUUUUUCCGAAAAUCAAUUACGAAUGUUUUAUUUUUGAGGAGUUAUGACUUCAUCGGCUUGCUCCUUUCUUUAUGAAACUUUCUUAAUGCACUUUUCGGUUAACAAGUCAACAUCAAUUUCUUUUGUUGUAAAAGGGUAUGAGGAAGGUGGCUUUCUUUUCGGAGAAAGUGUUUAUAGCCUUGUGCCUCUGCGAUCGGAGAGAUUGAGGUCUGCAGCGUAGAUCCUUCGGGGUUAGAUACGUUUGUGCUAAGUUAUAGCUUUUCAUAGACAACUUGUUGACUAUGUUUAGUCUUGUAGCUUACUCGCUGACGCUAUUUUACCUACGCUUAGGAUGUUGAGCGCAUGUCUCUCUCU
Molecule: ribosomal RNA, 774 nt
Filed under: uncultured Neocallimastigales
Lineage: Eukaryota; Fungi; Neocallimastigomycota; Neocallimastigomycetes; Neocallimastigales
Description: partial large subunit ribosomal RNA
Rfam family: Eukaryotic large subunit ribosomal RNA
Source: RNAcentral